AAUGUGCUCUACAAUGCUUUUGCUCAAUGGU
RNAcentral lists this non-coding RNA (31 nucleotides) under Rattus norvegicus (Norway rat). The record is from RNAcentral. Lineage: Eukaryota; Metazoa; Chordata; Mammalia; Rodentia; Muridae.